UGGGGAAUUGUUCGCAAUGGGCGCAAGCCUGACGACGCAACGCCGCGUGGAGGAUGAAGACCUUCGGGUCGUAAACUCCUUUCGAUCGAGACGAAUGGCUUCCAUCUGAAUAGGAUGGGAGUAUGACGGUACCGAGAGAAGAAGCCCCGGCUAACUCCGUGCCAGCAGCCGCGGUAAUACGGGGGGGGCAAGCGUUGUUCGGAAUUACUGGGCGUAAAGGGCUCGUAGGUGGCCAACUAAGUCAGACGUGAAAUCCCUCGGCUUAACCGGGGAACUGCGUCUGAUACUGGAUGGCUAGAGAUUGGGAGAGGGAUGCGGAAUUCCAGGUGUAGCGGUGAAAUGCGUAGAUAUCUGGAGGAACACCGGUGGCGAAGGCGGCAUCCUGGACCAACACUGACGCUGAGGAGCGAAAGCCAGGGGAGCAAACGG
This 429-nucleotide ribosomal RNA is filed under the name uncultured bacterium. RNAcentral describes it as "bacterial SSU rRNA". It matches the Rfam family "Bacterial small subunit ribosomal RNA", at positions 355 to 775 of the family's 1533-position model. The record is from RNAcentral.